RNAcentral lists this ribosomal RNA (383 nucleotides) under uncultured eukaryote. RNAcentral's name for it is "partial 18S ribosomal RNA". It matches the Rfam family "Eukaryotic small subunit ribosomal RNA", at positions 592 to 976 of the family's 1831-position model. The record is from RNAcentral.
CAAUAGCGUAUAUUAAAGUUGAUGCAGUUAAAAAGCUCGUAGGUGGAUUUCUGGUGGGAGCGAUCGGUCUGGCGCUUAGCGCGAGUACUUGCAUCGUCUCCGGCCAUCCUUGGGGAGAGUCUGUCUGGCAUUAAGUUGUCGGGCAGAGGAUCCUCAUCGUUUACUGUGAAAAAAUUAGAGUGUUCAAAGCAGGCUUAUGCCGUUGAAUAUAUUAGCAUGGAAUAAUAAGAUAGGACUUUGGUACUAUUUUGUUGGUUUGCGCACCAAAGUAAUGAUUAAUAGGGACAGUUGGGGGUAUUCGUAUUCCGUUGUCAGAGGUGAAAUUCUUGGAUUUACGGAAGACGAACUACUGCGAAAGCAUUUACCAAGGAUGUUUUCAUUAA